This is a ribosomal RNA of 934 nucleotides. It matches the Rfam family "Eukaryotic small subunit ribosomal RNA", at positions 96 to 1040 of the family's 1831-position model.
GCUCAUUAAAUCAGUUAUCGUUUAUUUGAUAGUACCUUACUACUUGGAUAACCGUGGUAAUUCUAGAGCUAAUACAUGCUGAAAACCCCGACUUACGAAGGGGUGUAUUUAUUAGAUAAAAAACCAACGCCCUUCGGGGCUUUUUGGUGAUUCAUGAUAACUUUACGGAUCGCAUGGCCUUGCGCCGGCGACGGUUCAUUCAAAUUUCUGCCCUAUCAACUUUCGAUGGUAAGGUAUUGGCUUACCAUGGUUUCAACGGGUAACGGGGAAUUAGGGUUCGAUUCCGGAGAGGGAGCCUGAGAAACGGCUACCACAUCCAAGGAAGGCAGCAGGCGCGCAAAUUACCCAAUCCCGACACGGGGAGGUAGUGACAAUAAAUACUGAUACAGGGCUCUUUUGGGUCUUGUAAUUGGAAUGAGUACAAUUUAAACCUCUUAACGAGGAACAAUUGGAGGGCAAGUCUGGUGCCAGCAGCCGCGGUAAUUCCAGCUCCAAUAGCGUAUAUUAAAGUUGUUGCAGUUAAAAAGCUCGUAGUUGAACCUUGGGCCUGGCUGGCAGGUCCGCCUCACCGCGUGUACUUGUCCGGCCGGGUCUUCCUUCUGGAGAACCUCAUGCCCUUCACUGGGCGUGUUGGGGACCAGGACUUUUACUUUGAAAAAAUUAGAGUGUUCAAAGCAGGCCUUUGCUCGAAUACGUUAGCAUGGAAUAAUAGAAUAGGACGUGCGGUCCUAUUUUGUUGGUUUCUAGGACCGCCGUAAUGAUUAAUAGGGACAGUCGGGGGCAUCAGUAUUCAAUUGUCAGAGGUGAAAUUCUUGGAUUUAUUGAAGACUAACUACUGCGAAAGCAUUUGCCAAGGAUGUUUUCAUUAAUCAGUGAACGAAAGUUAGGGGAUCGAAGACGAUCAGAUACCGUCGUAGUCUUAACCGUAAACUAU